Molecule: ribosomal RNA, 404 nt
Filed under: uncultured bacterium
Lineage: Bacteria
Description: bacterial SSU rRNA
Rfam family: Bacterial small subunit ribosomal RNA
Source: RNAcentral
UGGGGAAUAUUGCACAAUGGGGGAAACCCUGAUGCAGCAACGCCGCGUGGAGGAAGAAGGUUUUCGGAUUGUAAACUCCUGUCUUUUGGGACGAUAAUGACGGUACCAAAAGAGGAAGCCACGGCUAACUACGUGCCAGCAGCCGCGGUAAUACGUAGGUGGCGAGCGUUGUCCGGAAUUACUGGGCGUAAAGGGCGCGUAGGCGGCCAAUUAAGUCAGAUGUGAAAACCCCAGGCUUAACUUGGGGAGUGCAUUUGAAACUGGAUGGCUAGAGUGUCGGAGAGGGAAGCGGAAUUCCUAGUGUAGCGGUGAAAUGCGUAGAUAUUAGGAGGAACACCAGUGGCGAAGGCGGCUUUCUGGACGAUAACUGACGCUGAGGCGCGAAAGCGUGGGGAGCAAACAGG